Molecule: transfer RNA, 71 nt
Filed under: Caudoviricetes sp.
Lineage: Duplodnaviria; Heunggongvirae; Uroviricota; Caudoviricetes
Description: tRNA-Gln
Rfam family: tRNA
About the family: Transfer RNA (tRNA) molecules are approximately 80 nucleotides in length.
Source: RNAcentral
ACGGGUGUGGUGUAAUGGUAGCACAGAAGACUUUGACUCUUCCGGUAUAGAUUCGAGUUCUAUCGCCCGUG